AGAGUUUGAUCCUGGCUCAGAACGAACGCUGGCGGCGCGUCUUAAGCAUGCAAGUCGAGCGGCAAGGGUAGCAAUACCCCUAGAGCGGCGGACUGGUGAGUAACACGUGGGUGACCUACCCUUAGGUUGGGGAUAGCCGGUAGAAAUACCGGGUAAUACCGAAUGUGGUUACCGGGCUUUGGCCUGGUAAAGAAAGGAGCUACGGCUCCGCCUGAGGAUGGGCCCGCGUCCCAUUAGCUAGUUGGGGGUGUAACGGACCACCAAGGCGAUGAUGGGUAGCCGGCCUGAGAGGGUGAACGGCCACACUGGGACUGAGAUACGGCCCAGACUCCUACGGGAGGCAGCAGCUAAGAAUAUUCCGCAAUGGACGAAAGUCUGACGGAGCGACGCCGCGUGGAUGAUGAAGGCCGAAAGGUUGUAAAGUCCUUUUGUCGACGAAGAAUAAGUGUGGGAGGGAAUGCCCGCAUGAUGACGUUAGUCGGCGAAUAAGCCCCGGCUAAUUACGUGCCAGCAGCCGCGGUAACACGUAAGGGGCAAGCGUUGUUCGGAAUUAUUGGGCGUAAAGGGUACGUAGGCGGUUACGUAAGCCCGGCGUGAAAUACUGGAGCUCAACUCCAGAACUGCGUUGGGAACUGCGAGACUUGAGUCAUGGAAGGGGAGUUGGAAUUCCAGGUGUAGGGGUGAAAUCUGUAGAUAUCUGGAAGAACACCGGUGGCGAAGGCGAACUCCUGGCCAAUGACUGACGCUGAGGUACGAAAGUGCGGGGAGCAAACAGGAUUAGAUACCCUGGUAGUCCGCACAGUAAACGAUGUGCACUAGGUGUUGGGCCGAGCGGUUCAGUGCCGAAGCUAACGUGAUAAGUGCACCGCCUGGGGAGUAUGCCCGCAAGGGUGAAACUCAAAGGAAUUGACGG
Molecule: ribosomal RNA, 913 nt
Filed under: uncultured bacterium
Lineage: Bacteria
Description: bacterial SSU rRNA
Rfam family: Bacterial small subunit ribosomal RNA
Source: RNAcentral